GGGGGAUGGGACGGGGGGGGGGGCAGGCAGGGCUUACGUGCAGGGGGCCUCUGUGCCUGGCCCCUGCAGGUCGAGGGAGAGUCCCAGGCCUGACCCUGGCCCCAUCCUCCAGGUCCGGAGCGCUCUGCAGAGGAUGACUGAGAAGAAGGCAGCGGAGGCCUUCCCGGUGGGCAGGCGCGGGCGGAGGGGCGGGGGGCCCUCCCCAUAGCCGGGGUCCUGGCACUGAUUCUCUUUCCUUUCAGGCUUGCUCCAGUCCCGUGGGCCCAGGAUUCCACCCUGGGCCCUCAGGCCCCUGGGAGAUGGCCCGGGACAACCCUGUGGUCUUGGCUCCCCCCCGAAGACACCUGGCUCUUAGAGGAACUCACAGCCCCAGAAACCCCACAACCUUCUCCUCCAUUGCAGAACCCGAGAGACCGGCUGUGGAGCUGACAGCAUUCAAGCCUUCAGGUACAGCUCUCACCCCAGGGGCUCCCUCUUUUCCUCUCAGCACCCGGAUACCCCCUCAGCCCCAAUGUCCCAAAAUGGAAAUUAUUUGAGAAAAAAAUGCACCCAACCUGCCACAAUUUGAGGGGCUCUUCCUAUCACUCGGCUCCUUGUUGGUGCCUGAAAAUCCCCCAUCAGCACCCUGUGGGCGCUGACAGUGAAAAUGCAGGGAUCAGGGGGAGAGGCUUAGUGAGGGAGGAAGUCUGGGACCCCCCCCCCAGGCCAGUGCUGCCAGAGAGGCAGCGAGCGAGGAGCCUGCCUCCCUCCACGCACC
RNAcentral lists this long non-coding RNA (757 nucleotides) under Sus scrofa (pig). Its description in RNAcentral is "lncRNA (ENSSSCG00025032677.1)". Lineage: Eukaryota; Metazoa; Chordata; Mammalia; Artiodactyla; Suidae. The record is from RNAcentral.